AAUCAACGCUGGCGGCGUGCCUCAGACAUGCAAGUCGAACGCGAAAGAAGGCUUCGGCCUUCGAGUAGAGUGGCGCACGGGUGAGUAACACGUAGGCAAUCUACCUCGAGGUGGGGAAUAACUCAGGGAAACCUGAGCUAAUACCGCAUAAUGCAGCGGCUCGGGAUCGAGACAGUUGUUAAAGCGUGGGAUCCUUCGGGACCACGCGCCUGGAGAGGAGCCUGCGGCGGAUUAGCUAGUUGGUGAGGUGACGGCUCACCAAGGCGAUGAUCCGUAG
This 277-nucleotide ribosomal RNA is filed under the name uncultured bacterium. Its description in RNAcentral is "partial 16S ribosomal RNA". It matches the Rfam family "Bacterial small subunit ribosomal RNA", at positions 32 to 286 of the family's 1533-position model. The record is from RNAcentral.